GAUGAACGCUGGCGGCGUGCCUAAUACAUGCAAGUCGAGCGAACAGAUGAGGAGCUUGCUCCUCUGACGUUAGCGGCGGACGGGUGAGUAACACGUGGAUCACCUACUUAUAUGACUUGGAUAACUUCGGGAAACCGGAGCUACUACCGGCUAAUAUAUUGAACCGCAUGGUUCAAUAGUUAAUGACGGUUUUGCUGUCUCUUUUAGCUGAUUCCGCGCCGCAUUAGCUAGUUGGUAAGGUAACGGCUUACCAAGGCAACGAUGCGUAGCCGACCUGAGAGGGUGAUCGGCCACACUGGAACUGAGACACGGUCCAGACUCCUACGGGAGGCAGCAGUAGGGAAUAUUCCGCAAUGGGCGAAAGCCUGACGGAGCAACGCCGCGUGAGUGAAGAAGGUCUUCGGAUCGUAAAGCUCUGUUAUUAGGGAAGAACAGAUGUAUAAGAAAAUAUGCACGUCUUGACGGUACCUAAUCAAAAAGCCACGGCUAACUACGUG
RNAcentral lists this ribosomal RNA (497 nucleotides) under uncultured bacterium. Its description in RNAcentral is "partial 16S ribosomal RNA". It matches the Rfam family "Bacterial small subunit ribosomal RNA", at positions 28 to 507 of the family's 1533-position model. The record is from RNAcentral.